Daucus carota subsp. sativus is the source of this 1138-nucleotide long non-coding RNA. RefSeq lists it as uncharacterized. The record is from RefSeq and is a predicted model, not a curated record. NCBI's taxonomy places the organism in Eukaryota, Viridiplantae, Streptophyta, Magnoliopsida, Apiales, Apiaceae. The transcript has 2 exons.
AAUUAUUUAUUGAGGAUCAAUUUAAUAUUGUUAGAUCUAUCAUUAUUUUUAAAUAAUUUUCAAUGUUAUAUAACUUUUUCAUUUGUUUAAAAGAUAUCUUAGUAUAAUUAGAUUUUAAUUAGAUCUACGAUUAUUAGAUCUACAAAUUUUCUAGUACGUCUAAAAUAUGUUGCUUACUUUCUCUAGAUGUUUACGGUGAUUAAAUUACCUUAAAGUUAUUCCAAUUGAAUUUGUAGAUUUCAUUAGAGUGCAUUUAUUUUAUAUAAUUAAUUUCUUAAAGUUAUGUCAUCAAAUUCGAUAUGUUUCAAGAAAGAUCUAUAUUCUUGUGCACGAAACAAAAACUUGUAUAAGUUUCUUUUAUUAUAAUAUAUUUGAAUUGAUUUUGUUAUUGAUCUAUAUUAUUUCAUUGCAGUACACUUCGUGGUGAGGUUGUUCUUGGUAUAUUAUAAAAGCACAAGGAACUUGGCCUGGGUCUACUUGCAACAAGAUAAAUACUCAUUAGCAGAGGAGCUUUAUAGGUAUGUCAGUUAUAUAGUCAAAUUUGUAUGCAUUAUUCUGUGUAAUUAUGAGUCAAAUGUAAGUCAUCAUUUUUUCAUGAAUUAUACAUUGAUACAUAAAAACCUUGUUAUUUGAGCAAGAUAAGAAUUUAUUUUUUUUUGAAUUUGGAUAUUAGAUUGAUGUACGUGUAAGAACAUGAAGACGGAAGUCAAAUCUCUGUUUAAGCGUGCAACAUCAUGUGAAAAUGGUUUGAUGGAAGAGAAACAUGCCAAGUCAUUUGAAUGUGCAUCUAAGCUACUGGUUGAAUUAGAAUCAUAUAGUUCCGAGGAAACCAGAAAAUCAUUAUCAUCAUCUAUGAGAAGAGACACCGAAGAACACCUCAAUAAAGGUCAUAAUUGAGAUUUUUUAGUCAGAAAUUGGCAUAUAGUAAUAGCCAAACAACAUCGUCAAUGGAUGCUACGAAGAGAUUUCUUUGCACUUGGAGUGACAACAUUAUCAAAAUAUAUUCGAAGCAUAGGAAGAAGAAAAUAUAAAUCACUAUUUCAAAUGAUGAUAGCUACCUUGAACAUAUACCCAUGUAAGAUGAUUUAUGGUAUGUUCUGAAUGUUAGUGUUUGUACUGAAGUUAAAAUUUCCAAUCA